Molecule: ribosomal RNA, 1508 nt
Filed under: Hafnia paralvei
Lineage: Bacteria; Pseudomonadati; Pseudomonadota; Gammaproteobacteria; Enterobacterales; Hafniaceae
Description: partial 23S ribosomal RNA
Rfam family: Bacterial large subunit ribosomal RNA
Source: RNAcentral
GGUUAAGUGACUAAGCGUACACGGUGGAUGCCUAGGCAGUCAGAGGCGAUGAAGGACGUGCUAAUCUGCGAUAAGCGUCGGUAAGCUGAUAUGAAGCGUUAUAACCGACGAUUUCCGAAUGGGGAAACCCAGUGCAACUCGUUGCACUAUCGUUAAGUGAAUACAUAGCUUAACGAAGCGAACCAGGGGAACUGAAACAUCUAAGUACCCUGAGGAAAAGAAAUCAACCGAGAUUCCCCUAGUAGCGGCGAGCGAACGGGGAGCAGCCCAGAACCUUAAUCAGCGUAUGUGUCAGAGGAACGGUCUGGAAAGUCCGGCGAUACAGGGUGAUAGCCCCGUACUUGAAAAUGCAUAUGUUGUGAGUUCGAUGAGUAGGGCGGGACACGUGACAUCCUGUCUGAAUAUGGGGGGACCAUCCUCCAAGGCUAAAUACUCCUGACUGACCGAUAGUGAACCAGUACCGUGAGGGAAAGGCGAAAAGAACCCCGGCGAGGGGAGUGAAAUAGAACCUGAAACCGUGUACGUACAAGCAGUGGGAGCCUCUUUUAUGGGGUGACUGCGUACCUUUUGUAUAAUGGGUCAGCGACUUAUAUUUUGUAGCAAGGUUAACCGAAUAGGGGAGCCGUAGGGAAACCGAGUCUUAACUGGGCGUCAAGUUGCAAGGUAUAGACCCGAAACCCGGUGAUCUAGCCAUGGGCAGGUUGAAGGUUGGGUAACACUAACUGGAGGACCGAACCGACUAAUGUUGAAAAAUUAGCGGAUGACUUGUGGCUGGGGGUGAAAGGCCAAUCAAACCGGGAGAUAGCUGGUUCUCCCCGAAAGCUAUUUAGGUAGCGCCUCGUGAACUCAUCUUCGGGGGUAGAGCACUGUUUCGACUAGGGGGUCAUCCCGACUUACCAACUCGAUGCAAACUACGAAUACCGAAGAAUGUUAUCACGGGAGACACACGGCGGGUGCUAACGUCCGUCGUGAAGAGGGAAACAACCCAGACCGCCAGCUAAGGUCCCAAAGUCAUAGUUAAGUGGGAAACGAUGUGGGAAGGCAUAGACAGCCAGGAUGUUGGCUUAGAAGCAGCCAUCAUUUAAAGAAAGCGUAAUAGCUCACUGGUCGAGUCGGCCUGCGCGGAAGAUGUAACGGGGCUAAACUAUGCACCGAAGCUGCGGCAGCGACACUUAGGUGUUGUUGGGUAGGGGAGCGUUCUGUAAGCCUGUGAAGGUGACCUGUGAGGGUUGCUGGAGGUAUCAGAAGUGCGAAUGCUGACAUAAGUAACGAUAAAGCGGGUGAAAAACCCGCUCGCCGGAAGACCAAGGGUUCCUGUCCAACGUUAAUCGGGGCAGGGUGAGUCGACCCCUAAGGCGAGGCCGAAAGGCGUAGUCGAUGGGAAACAGGUUAAUAUUCCUGUACUCGGUGUUACUGCGAAGGGGGGACGGAGAAGGCUAGGCUAUCCGGGCGACGGUUGUCCCGGUUUAAGCGUGUAGGGGGUGUGACUUGGUAAAUCCGGUCGCAUA